UACGAAGGGGGCUAGCGUUGCUCGGAAUCACUGGGCGUAAAGGGUGCGUAGGCGGGUCUUUAAGUCAGGGGUGAAAUCCUGGAGCUCAACUCCAGAACUGCCUUUGAUACUGAGGAUCUUGAGUUCGGGAGAGGUGAGUGGAACUGCGAGUGUAGAGGUGAAAUUCGUAGAUAUUCGCAAGAACACCAGUGGCGAAGGCGGCUCACUGGCCCGAUACUGACGCUGAAGCGCGAAAGCGUGGGGAGCAAACGGG
Molecule: ribosomal RNA, 253 nt
Filed under: uncultured bacterium
Lineage: Bacteria
Description: partial 16S ribosomal RNA
Rfam family: Bacterial small subunit ribosomal RNA
Source: RNAcentral